This 460-nucleotide ribosomal RNA is filed under the name uncultured bacterium. RNAcentral describes it as "partial 16S ribosomal RNA". It matches the Rfam family "Bacterial small subunit ribosomal RNA", at positions 338 to 795 of the family's 1533-position model. The record is from RNAcentral.
CCUACGGGUGGCAGCAGUGAGGAAUAUUGGUCAAUGGACGAGAGUCUGAACCAGCCAAGUAGCGUGAAGGAUGACUGCCCUAUGGGUUGUAAACUUCUUUUAUAUGGGAAUAAAAUGUUUCACGUGUGGGCUUUUGUAUGUACCCUAUGAAUAAGGGUCGACUAACACCGUGCCAGCAGCCGCGGUCAUACGGAGGGUCCGAGGCUUAUCCGGAUUUAUUGGGUUUAAAGGGUGCGUAGAUGGGUUGUUAAGUCAGUUGGGAAAGUUUGCGGCUCAACCGUAAAAUUGCAAUUGAUACUGUCAGGCUUGAGUACAGUAGAGGUAGGCGGAAUUCGUGGUGUAGCGGUGAAAUGCUUAGAUAUCACGAAGAACUCCGAUUGCGAAGGCAGCCUGCCAGGCCAUGACUGACGCUGAUGCACGAAAGCGUGGGGAUCAAACAGGAUUAGAUACCCGAGUAGUC